This 447-nucleotide ribosomal RNA is filed under the name uncultured bacterium. RNAcentral's name for it is "partial 16S ribosomal RNA". It matches the Rfam family "Bacterial small subunit ribosomal RNA", at positions 29 to 523 of the family's 1533-position model. The record is from RNAcentral.
AACGAACGCUGGCGGCAGGCUUAACACAUGCAAGUCGAACGCCCCGCAAGGGGAGUGGCAGACGGGUGAGUAACGCGUGGGAAUCUACCGUGCCCUGCGGAAUAGCUCCGGGAAGCUGGAAUUAAUACCGCAUACGCCCUACGGGGGAAAGAUUUAUCGGGGUAUGAUGAGCCCGCGUUGGAUUAGCUAGUUGGUGGGGUAAAGGCCUACCAAGGCGACGAUCCAUAGCUGGUCGGAGAGGAUGAUCAGCCACAUUGGGACUGAGACACGGCCCAAACUCCUACGGGAGGCAGCAGUGGGGAAUAUUGGACAAUGGGCGCAAGCCUGAUCCAGCCAUGCCGCGUGAGUGAUGAAGGCCUUAGGGUUGUAAAGCUCUUUCACCGAUGAAGAUAAUGACGGCAGUCGGAGAAGAAGCCCCGGCUAACUUCGUGCCAGCCGCCGCCGUAA